Molecule: unclassified non-coding RNA, 205 nt
Filed under: uncultured fungus
Lineage: Eukaryota; Fungi
Description: sequence contains ITS1
Source: RNAcentral
UUGAUUCAUUUUUCCUUGCAUGCCGCAAGACACUCAGACGAUACCGCUAUCAUAAAAUAGGAGCUUAUAGGCCUUCGGCGGGGGCCUGCUUCCGGCAUGCUGAGCAGCCGGGGCGAUCCCGCCGAAGCAACGUUCAGGUAUGUUCACAGUGGGUUUAGGAGUUGGAAACUCAGUAAUGAUCCCUCCGCUGGUUCACCAACGGAGA